Plectropomus leopardus (leopard coralgrouper) is the source of this 366-nucleotide long non-coding RNA. RefSeq lists it as uncharacterized. The record is from RefSeq and is a predicted model, not a curated record. NCBI's taxonomy places the organism in Eukaryota, Metazoa, Chordata, Actinopteri, Perciformes, Serranidae.
ACGCUCAUGGACGUAGCAUGGUUCUCUUAUUCCUACUGCAGUUAGCGUCUACCAAAACAAGUAAACAAUGUCGGUUAUUUUUCAGUUUAACUUUAGUCAGUCACAGACCAAAACCCUGGAGGUGACUGGCAAACAAACAGCAAAGACACGGACAUACAGACCGAGAGGUGCGCUGCUCAGAAGAAAUAAUAUGAUGGAAGCGACAGUGGACUUUUUAACAACAGAGAUGGACACAUAAUCAUUCCCAAGUGACCAACAUCGUGCUAGAGGGUGUGGGCCCUUAGGAGUGUCGCUACGAGCCACACAGCAAACUACCCCGUCCCCGACAAACAACAAGUGAACCAGAGAUCUCCCCCUGUCCCAAUG